This 94-nucleotide transfer RNA is filed under the name Kitasatospora aureofaciens. RNAcentral's name for it is "tRNA-Gly(gcc)". Lineage: Bacteria; Bacillati; Actinomycetota; Actinomycetes; Kitasatosporales; Streptomycetaceae. The record is from RNAcentral.
GACGUCGUAGCCGAGGUUCUGCAGGGAGACGAUGUAGCCGCCGCCGUUGACGCUCGCCGGCGUGGUGCCCGAGUUCGGGUUCUUGGCGACGUCC